GACGAACGCUGGCGGCGUGCUUAACACAUGCAAGUCGAACGGAAAGGCCCUGCUUUUGUGGGGUGCUCGAGUGGCGAACGGGUGAGUAACACGUGAGUAACCUGCCCUUGACUUUGGGAUAACUUCAGGAAACUGGGGCUAAUACCGGAUAGGAGCUCCUGCUGCAUGGUGGGGGUUGGAAAGUUUCGGCGGUUGGGGAUGGACUCGCGGCUUAUCAGCUUGUUGGUGGGGUAGUGGCUUACCAAGGCUUUGACGGGUAGCCGGCCUGAGAGGGUGACCGGCCACAUUGGGACUGAGGUACGGCCCAGACUCCUACGGGAGGCAGCAGUGGGGAAUAUUGCACAAUGGGCGGAAGCCUGAUGCAGCAACGCCGCGUUCGUGAUGACGGCCUUCGGGUUGUAAACCGCUUUCGCCUGUGACGAAGCGUGAGUGACGGUAAUGGGUAAAGAAGCACCGGCUAACUACGUG
This 468-nucleotide ribosomal RNA is filed under the name uncultured bacterium. RNAcentral's name for it is "partial 16S ribosomal RNA". It matches the Rfam family "Bacterial small subunit ribosomal RNA", at positions 28 to 507 of the family's 1533-position model. The record is from RNAcentral.